CGGCGUGCUUAACACAUGCAAGUCGAACGGAGUUAAGCGCUGGAUUGAUGGCAGCUUGCUGCUGGAUUUCCUUGCUUAACUUAGUGGCGGACGGGUGAGUAACGCGUGAGUAACCUGCCCUUGAGUGGGGAAUAACGUUCUGAAAAGAACGCUAAUACCGCAUAACACAUAGUGACCGCAUGAUCAUUAUGUCAAAGAUUUAUCGCUGAAGGAUGGACUCGCGUCCGAUUAGCUUGUUGGUGAGGUAACGGCUCACCAAGGCGACGAUCGGUAGCCGGACUGAGAGGUUGAACGGCCACAUUGGGACUGAGACACGGCCCAGACUCCUACGGGAGGCAGCAGUGGGGAUAUUGCGCAAUGGGGGGAAACCCUGACGCAGCAACGCCGCGUGGAGGAUGACGGUUUUCGGAUUGUAAACUCCUUUUAUGGGGGACGAACUAAGACGGUACCCCAUGAAUAAGCUCCGGCUAACUACGUGCCAGCAGCCGC
Molecule: ribosomal RNA, 489 nt
Filed under: uncultured bacterium
Lineage: Bacteria
Description: bacterial SSU rRNA
Rfam family: Bacterial small subunit ribosomal RNA
Source: RNAcentral